Molecule: ribosomal RNA, 806 nt
Filed under: uncultured euryarchaeote
Lineage: Archaea; Methanobacteriati; Methanobacteriota
Description: bacterial SSU rRNA
Rfam family: Archaeal small subunit ribosomal RNA
Source: RNAcentral
GCCAUGCGAGUCGAGAGGGUUCGGCCCUCGGCAGACGGCUCAGUAACACGUGGAUAAUCUGCCCUUAGGUGGAGGAUAACCUCGGGAAACUGAGAAUAAUACUCCAUAGAUCUAGGAUGCUGGAAUGCACUUAGAUUGAAAGUUCCGGCGCCUAAGGAUGAGUCUGCGGACUAUCAGGUAGUAGUCAGGGUAAAGGCCUGACUAGCCUACGACGGAUACGGGUUGUGAGAGCAAUAACCCGGAGACGAUAUCUGAGACACGAUAUCGGGCCCUACGGGGCGCAGCAGGCGCGAAACCUUCACAAUGUGCGAAAGCACGAUGAGGGGAUCCCAAGUGCUUGCUCGUAAGAGUAAGCUGUUUUUAUGUCUAAAAAGCAUAGAGAGUAAGGGCUGGGUAAGACGGGUGCCAGCCGCCGCGGUAAUACCUGCAGCUCAAGUAGUGACCGCUAUUAUUGGGCCUAAAACGUUCGUAGCCGGUUUGGUAAAUGCCUGGGUAAAUCGUGUAGCUUAACUAUACGAAUUCCGGGUAGACUGCCAAACUUGAAACCGGGAGAAGCUAGAGGUACUCCUGGGGUAGAGGUGAAAUUCUGUAAUCCUGGGGGGACCACCAGUGGCGAAGGCGUCUAGCUAGAACGGGUUUGACGGUGAGGAACGAAGCCCUGGGGCGCAAACCGGAUUAGAUACCCGGGUAGUCCAGGGUGUAAACGCUGCUUGCUUGAUGUUAGUUGGGCUCCGAGCCCAAUUAGUGUCGGAGAGAAGUUGUUAAGCAAGCUGCCUGGGAAGUACGAUCGCAAGAUUGAAACUUAA